Molecule: long non-coding RNA, 882 nt
Organism: Mesocricetus auratus (golden hamster)
Lineage: Eukaryota; Metazoa; Chordata; Mammalia; Rodentia; Cricetidae
Exons: 4
Source: RefSeq, a predicted model, not a curated record
GUUUGGCUCCUCUGGGUUUGGUAUCUUGGUUGCAGUUGGGAUCUCUUCCUGUCCUGGUGGAUACAGUCCAGGGUUCUCUUCUGGAAUUCCUUUUCAAAAGGAAACAAUCACAGGUGAAAAGAAAAUGUCAAUAAAAGAAGACAAAGCAAGACGUGGAUGAACCCGCUGUGAUGGGGUGAUGAUGCCCACACCUUCUCCCAGGUCUUUGGAUCCAGCCGGUUCUGUGACACUUAAGACUUCUGAAAUUUUAUCUUCAGUACACUGUCCACUGCCUCUCUGUCUUCACUUCAAGCACAGCCCAAUGUGGAGGAACAUAUACCAGCGCAGACAUCUGUUCCUCGGGAUUCACUCAAGAAGCUGGAGUCGUCUGGCAGAGCACAUUAAAUGAAAGACACACUUUAUGGCCUUACCUGCAUUCAUACUCCUCAGGUCAAGAUAUCUGAAGGAAACAGCAAAAGGGGGAUCUAUGAAUAUGCUCACAAGCAUGAAAACCCUGCUGACAUUGAUUAAAUAAGUCCACACAAUGUUCACUGCAAAGUAAUCUAUGCUAAUGCAAUUUACUAGGAAGGAAGAAGAAGGGAGCUGGGCUCUGAGCUGUGAUUGAUGGAGCAUUGCCGCAGGAACCAGGUAGCCCAGCACUUCAGAAAAAUCACAUAAUCCCCAUGAAAAAUAAAUUCUGUCUGUUUUUAUUAGGAAAAAUCUAACUUAAAAUGCAUAAAAUCAUUUGUGUCUGGUUCUGGCAUGUUGAAUGCCAUGGUUAGAGGGAAGAAAAAUAUUCACAAAACAUGCAUAGAAGGAAUUCUCUUUUGUGUAUUGUUUUGCUUGGACUUUAUUUUUGGGAGGUGUCUCUGUUCUGAUUUUACUCUGAAAAAUGUGGGUUGC